RNAcentral lists this non-coding RNA (26 nucleotides) under Mus musculus (house mouse). Lineage: Eukaryota; Metazoa; Chordata; Mammalia; Rodentia; Muridae. The record is from RNAcentral.
UAAGUGACAGAGGUAGGAUGGAAGAG